GAGUUGUAAGCUGAAGAAGUGUCGACCGACAUGGUCUGGGUCCAAUUUCUUUGGAACAAGAUGUCAUGGAGGGUGAGAACCCCGUCUGUGGCUCGGAUACCAUUGUCCUUGUGUCGUAUCUUCGAAGAGUCGGGUUGUUUGGGAAUGCAGCUCAAAAUGGGUGGUAAAUUUCAUCUAAGGCUAAAUAUUGGCGAGAGACCGAUAGCAAACAAGUAGAGUGAUCGAAAGAUGAAAAGUACUUUGAAAAGAGAGUGAAACAGUACGUGAAAUUGUUGAAAGGGAAGCGUUUGGCAUCAGCCCAUGGCACCCGUCGAUCAUCCAGGCUUCUGUCUGGUGCACUUGUCGGGUGUCGGGCCAGCGUCGACUUUGCCUGCUGGAUAAAGGCCUUGGGAAUGUGUCUCCCUUGGGAGAGUUACAGCCCUUGGUGUCAUGCAGUGUGGUGGGGUCGUGGUCCGCGGUUUAUCCUAGGACGCUGGCGUAAUGGUUCCAAGCGACCCGUCUUGAAACACGGACCAAGGAGUCUAACAUCUAUGCGAGUGUUUGGGUGUCAAGCCCGUCCGCGCAAUGAAAGUGAAUGCAGGCGGGAG
RNAcentral lists this ribosomal RNA (587 nucleotides) under uncultured Archaeorhizomycetes. Its description in RNAcentral is "eukaryotic LSU rRNA". It matches the Rfam family "Eukaryotic large subunit ribosomal RNA", at positions 140 to 741 of the family's 3401-position model. Lineage: Eukaryota; Fungi; Ascomycota; Archaeorhizomycetes. The record is from RNAcentral.